Long non-coding RNA from Rosa rugosa (rugosa rose), 2795 nucleotides. RefSeq lists it as uncharacterized. The transcript has 8 exons. The record is from RefSeq and is a predicted model, not a curated record. NCBI's taxonomy places the organism in Eukaryota, Viridiplantae, Streptophyta, Magnoliopsida, Rosales, Rosaceae.
AUAUAUUGAAAGGUGAGUUCACUGUUACUACUGUUCAUCAAAGGGAGGAAAAGGCGAUUUUACCCUUACUGUUCGUGGAGAAUAUCAAGCUGGUCUUCUAUAAACCGUGAAUAAAGAAAACGCCUUGAUUUGGUAGUGGAUUCGGGAACCUUCGCAAAAACAAAAAAAAGAAUCACCGACUGAAAGAGAGAGCGAGAGAGAGAGAGAGAGAGAGAGAGAGUUCGGUUCUGCUGUGUUUCUUCGUCUCGCUUAGAUUGAUAGUGAGGGAGGUUGUUGAUCGGCAUAGACAGGUCUCAAUUUUCGUUUGUUUCCAGCUUGGAGGCAUAAAAGAUUGUAUCGGAAUUGCAAAGCUCUGAUUUUUGGUGUGGGUGGAGGCUUUUAAUUAGAAUUGGAGCAGAAUUGGAGUCAGGGGAAGAGUAACAUUUGGGUCUAGGCUUUGAUCAGACCGAGUUUUUUCCUCUCUCUUCCCCCCUCUGCCUCCUAAACCGAACAGCAGCAGCUGCGUGAGGUAAUGAAUUCCUUGCUACGUUUUGGUUGUUUUUGCUUCUCCACUUCGUUGUUUGGUUAGCUUGGUUUAAUAUAGCUUGAGAAAUUUGAUUUGGGUUUGUGAAAGAAUAAAGAUUGAUUCUUUUCUUAUGUAAAUUGAGGGAAUUGAUGGGAAUUUGAAGAAAUGGAUUUUAAAGUUUGCUAGAGCACAGAGCAGAUCUCAGCCAUCACUAUUCACUAAUUAGGUAGCUGUGAAGGGAUUUGCAUAAGAACUUUCAAGCAGGAUUGAGCUCCCAUCUCCUUUAAUCCGGGUUGGAAAGUGAUUGGAACAGCAAGUAGUGCUUAAAAGAAGAGACUUGCAGAAAGUAGAGUUUCACUCAUUUUUCUUUUUAUACUUUGCGUUUCACGGCUUGACUUUGUGUUCUCUUUAUUUGCUUAAUGAGAUUUAGAUAUAUUUUAAUGCCUGUAUUCAUGUAUUAAAGUAGUGCUAGCAGAGUCAUGUGGCAGUUACGAUUACUUUAUUCAUUUUAUUUCCUGUUCUUUUCAUGUUCCUAGACAUUUUUGUUUUUUAUUUUUUGACUUUUCUUUCUCCUUUGGCUUUUGUUUCUGAUUAGAUUCAGUUUGUCUUCAAGUUAGAUUUUAUGCGCAAGGGUAUCUGAUUGAUUGCAGAUAGAGGUUUUACUCUUCUUCUUUUUUGUGUUGGAAGAUUCAGUUUGUCUUCAAGUUAGAUUUUAUGCACAAGGGUGUGCACGUGAUUCUCCUGCCGCUGUUCCUUUGCGUAUUGUUUGGGAUUAUUUCAGUAUUGUAUUCUUCUUUAGAUAGAGGUUUUUCUCUUCUUCUUUUCUGUGUUGGAAGUGUAGUGCCUGCCUGCCUUUGUCUUUCUCCGUCUGGAAGGUGAGUUGUUUAUUUGAGAGGUUUGGAUGAAAAUUCCUCAUAACAGUCUUAAUGUACUUAGAUUGCAGUGUUUAUUAUGAUUUGAAGUGAAUCUAAAAUUCCUCUUCGUGUUUUGGGUCCCUCCUUUGCUUUUACACUUUAAAGCCCUUGCUGCCUAAAUUCAACAACACAUAAAUAGUCUGCUUAUGUCUAUAGAUGGUCUCAAUACUCAAAGUAAAGGAAGAUACUGUUUGUUUUGGUAAAAGUCAAAUUUGGUAUUCAAAUCGAUGGUAUAUUUAUCAUGUUUAUUAUGAUCAUCAUUGUUGUACAUGUUUAUAAAAUGAUAAAUCCUUGGUUUAACAGACAACUUUGUUUGAUGCCACUGAUAUAGACGUAAUCCAGGAUUCACUUGGUUGGAAAUGAAAUUUGUUAAUAUGAUUGUGGAAAUAAAGUUUGAUUGAAAUCGGUAAGGUUCUAAAGUUUGAUUGAAAUCAGUAAGGUUCGAAAGUUUGAAGCUGUAGUAGAAAGGAAAAGAAGAGGGAUUGAAAUCGGUAAGGUUCUAAAGUUUGAAGCUUUCAUUUGGUUAGAUUUUGGGGGUUGCGUUUUUGUUGUUUUUUGCUGGAAUUGGGUUUUGGGUUUGAUUUGUUGUUUGGUUGUCUUUCGCAGUUCUAAAUAUUGUUCACUUAAAUAUCUAGGAAAGAAGAAUAAGGAUUGAAAUCGACGAACAGAUGAAUUAGCUAGAUUUUGACCGGAAACCGGAAACCUCACUACCAUGUUGACAGUAGAUUGCACGUUGGAUUCCACACAAAUUUGAUAUCCGGAACCAGUUUCUAUAUAAACGGUGCUUUAAGAUGAACACCUACCGUCUCUAAUCCAUCUUCUGUCUAAUAUACAAUAUUCAUAAGCAUCCCUAGGCUAAUUAAAAGCUCUAUACAUGUAUGAAUGCAUCUUCAGUUUAAUUAAAAUUAAAAGUCCCCGUGAUUCUUCCUUAAUGAUCAGCUAAUUUCGUACCAUUAAACUGUUAAUUAUUGUGCUUCAACGUCUAACUAAUGUAAAAAUAGAGGCAUGGUGUUCAAUUGCAGCAAAGUAGUAUACUCCCCUCAUUUGCCAGUAACUAAUGUUCUGUUGUGUUUUAUCAUUGCACUGUUUCUAAUUACCAAUCGCACAAAUGUCCAAGGAUGUGGUGCUUUUCCGACUAUAAACUCUGAUCUUUUUCUUUUUUCAAUCAAAUUACUUUUCCUUGAUACAGAAGCUUCUGCAGAACUGUGGUUAAUUGAACUUUAGUUGUUUAUCUGCAUUUGCUUUUCAAUCCACAUAUAAUCGCGUCAUUCCAUUCAUGUUCCCCUUACCUUCUUCUCUAAACUAUUUUACUUCUAUGAAUAAGAAACGUUAACCUCAAAUAUAAUAAUGCUAUUCUUACUAAUUCUUCAAAUAUU